GGAAGGAUCAUUACCGAAUUGUCAACAAGAGUUGUUGCUGGUCUCCGUAUGGGGGCAUGUGCACGCUCUGUUUACACAUCCACUCACACCUGUGCACGCUCUGUAGUUCUAUGGCCUGGGUGGGCUCUGUCCUCCUGCUGUGGUUCUAUGUCUUUACACACACACUACAACAAAGUCUCAUGGAAUGUAUGUCGCGUUUAACGCAAUGGAAUACAACUUUCAGCAACGGAUCUCUUGGCUCUCGCAUCGAUGAAGAACGCAGCGAAAUGCGAUAAGUAAUGUGAAUUGCAGAAUUCAGUGAAUCAUCGAAUCUUUGAACGCACCUUGCGCCCUUUGGCUAUUCCGAAGGGCAUGCCUGUUUGAGUAUCAUGAACACCUCAACUCUCAUGGCUUGCCAUGAUGUGCUUGGACUUUGGGGGUCUUGUUGGCCUGUGAGCCAGCUCCUCUUAAAUGAAUCAGCUUGCCGGUGUUUGGUGGCGUCACAGGUGUGAUAACUAUCUACGCUUGUGGUUUCCCACCAGGGUAACCUUCAGCAAUGAAGGUUCACCGGAGCUUAUAAAUGUCUCUCCUCAGUGAGGACAGAUUUUGACCAUUUGAUCUCAAAUCAGGUAGGACUACCCGCUGAACUUAAGCAUAUCAAUAAGCGGAGGAA
This 652-nucleotide ribosomal RNA is filed under the name uncultured fungus. Its description in RNAcentral is "eukaryotic LSU rRNA". The stretch from base 215 to 369 matches the Rfam family "5.8S ribosomal RNA". The record is from RNAcentral. Lineage: Eukaryota; Fungi.